AUUUUGUGAGUACAUUUAGUUCUGAGUUGGCAUAGAGUAGUACUAUGUAAAAUUCUUCUCCAUUGUACGACCCAUGCUGGCCCAGUGAAAGAUUUCAAUUCACUAACA
This is a non-coding RNA of Tribolium castaneum (red flour beetle), 108 nucleotides long. The record is from RefSeq and is marked provisional. NCBI's taxonomy places the organism in Eukaryota, Metazoa, Arthropoda, Insecta, Coleoptera, Tenebrionidae.